CCCUUAGAUGUUCUGGGCCGCACGCGUGCUACACUGAGUGGAUCAGCGGGUCAGGUUGCGCGAAAGUGUUUCCUAAUCUUGAAAUCCGCUCGUGAUGGGGAUUGACGGUUGCAAUUUUCCGUCAUGAACGAGGAAUACCUUGUAAGCGCGGGUCAUCAUCCCGCGCUGAAUACGUCCCUGCCCUUUGUACACCCCGCCCGUCGCUCCUACCGAUUGAGUGGUCCGGUGAGGCUUUGGGAUCUGAGCGGAAAGAGCGUUUCGCUGUUUCUGCUCGGAAAACUCAGUCGAACCUUAUCAUUUAGAGGAAGGAGAAGUCGUAACA
RNAcentral lists this ribosomal RNA (322 nucleotides) under uncultured eukaryote. Its description in RNAcentral is "partial 18S ribosomal RNA". It matches the Rfam family "Eukaryotic small subunit ribosomal RNA", at positions 1470 to 1796 of the family's 1831-position model. The record is from RNAcentral.